This is a long non-coding RNA of Bos taurus (domestic cattle), 725 nucleotides long. NCBI's taxonomy places the organism in Eukaryota, Metazoa, Chordata, Mammalia, Artiodactyla, Bovidae. The record is from Ensembl.
GAAACAAAUCCUGGCCGGCCUCACAUAUGCUUAAUCGGGGAAGUCUGCGCCCGGCUCUGCCCACCCUGUGCUGCCUCUCCUGGCGCGGCUGGAGCGCCCGGCUCGGGGCAGCUGCCGCCCAGCCUGCCCGCCUCUCAGCAGCUGGGCGGGAGCGCCUGGGCUGCUCUGGACACUCCUCUGACCGGGGCUCGGCGCCUUCAGUCGCAUUUACAGCCCGGGGAGGAAGCUGGGCCAGGAGGGUGAUUAGUUCACGACAACUGCACUUCCUGGGGUGUCUGACUGAAGCAACCCUGAGGGCUAAACCCCUGGCCCCGUGGGUCUGAGCCAGUCACCACGGGCCGAGAGCAUGUCCUUCUCUGCAUCUGCCUGAGCUCACGCUGCCCAGGCCCCGGCUCUUCAAGUCUGCCAGCCAGCGAUAGGAGGGGGCUCGCCUCAACAGUCCCGGCCUUUUAUCUCCCGCUGACCUGCCCGUGCAGCAACACGAAGCCAGUGCCGGGCUUCCUGCAGCUUGCCGAGAGGGGCUGUUUGACUCGUUCAAAGUAUGACUGGCCUCCAAAACCCUGGAACCGUGCCGAGCAACACCCACCCAACAUCCAUUUCAGUUCCAGCUUUAAAAGCCUCUGAGCGCGGGGGCCUAGCCCUCCCUAGGCCUGCGAGUGGGAGAGGUGGCCGCUUCCCAGAACUUGCUUCCCAGGCUCACACACACAUGUGCUUUCUGUCCACAG